CCUACAUGAAGCUGGAAUUGCUAGUAAUCACAGGUCAGCAUACUGUGGUGAAUACGUUCCCGGGCCUUGUACACACCGCCCGUCAAGCCAUGGAAGCCGGGGGUGCCUGAAGUCUGUAACCGCGAGGAUCGGCCUAGGGCAAAACUGGUAACUGGGGCUAAGUCGUAACAAGGUAAC
This 177-nucleotide ribosomal RNA is filed under the name uncultured bacterium. RNAcentral's name for it is "partial 16S ribosomal RNA". It matches the Rfam family "Bacterial small subunit ribosomal RNA", at positions 1315 to 1500 of the family's 1533-position model. The record is from RNAcentral.